CCUACGGGUGGCAGCAGUGGGGAAUAUUGCACAAUGGGGGAAACCCUGAUGCAGCGACGCCGCGUGAGUGAAGAAGUAUUUCGGUAUGUAAAGCUCUAUCAGCAGGGAAGAAAUAGCGACCUUUGGUUCGCCAGACGGUACCUGAUUAAGAAGCCCCUGCUAACUACGUGCCAGCAGCCGCGGUAAUACGUAGGGGGCAAGCGUUAUCCGGAUUUACUGGGUGUAAAGGGAGCGUAGACGGCAGCGCAAGUCUGAAGUGAAAUGCCGGGGCUUAACCCCGGAACUGCUUUGGAAACUGGGCAGCUAGAGUGGAGGAGAGGUAAGUGGAAUUCCUGGUGUAGCGGUGAAAUGCGUAGAUAUGAGGAGGAACACCAGUGGCGAAGGCGGCUUACUGGACUGUAACUGACGUUGAGGCUCGAAAGCGUGGGGAGCAAACAGGAUUAGAUACCCCGGUAGUC
RNAcentral lists this ribosomal RNA (458 nucleotides) under uncultured bacterium. RNAcentral's name for it is "partial 16S ribosomal RNA". It matches the Rfam family "Bacterial small subunit ribosomal RNA", at positions 338 to 795 of the family's 1533-position model. The record is from RNAcentral.